This is a non-coding RNA of Chlorocebus sabaeus (green monkey), 4881 nucleotides long. Lineage: Eukaryota; Metazoa; Chordata; Mammalia; Primates; Cercopithecidae. The record is from RefSeq and is a predicted model, not a curated record.
AAUUAGGUGUCCCAUAUGGCUAGCAGACAAAACUGGGUGGAUUCCACUUCAGGCUUACAAAAACACAGACACUUAGAUGCCAUCUUUCUGAAGAGAAUCCCAAACUGAUUGCAAAUCCAGAACUGAGUAUGCCACUACAUGAUGACACUGAGUUCAUAUUUCUCUGGUUUGUCCUCAGAUUGUUCAGCCUUAAAGACUGAGUCAGGCUCUGGAUGGUGGAUUUCAAUGACAAGAACAUAGAUGAGGCCUCCAAUGACAGCACCAACCAAAGGGCCCACUACAGGAAUCCACCAGAAGUUGUUUCCAGCUCUGAAAUCAAACAAGAAAUUAGUGAUACAUUUCUUGGCCUUCCUCCUGGUAUUACUGUCUAGUUUUUCACUCACUUGUUAGUCUUUCUCAUGCUCAUGGUUCCCUCUUAACUCAGCAAGAUCUAAGUAUAAGGAGGGGUCACUGCAGCAUGGCAACUGUCAUCCUUGAUUUUCCACUACACCUGAUUUCAGAUGAUCUAUUUCCUGGUCCUACUAAUAUUUGUGAGAUAUUAUGUCUUACUUAUUUUCCUUUUAGAAAAUAUAGUGCUUGAGCCCAUGGUUAGGAUUGAGGGCCCCUAAGAAAGUUCAGGUCAAUUACUCAGGAAAUGCCUUUCCCUCAUCCUGAAAUAAUGGUGCCUGUGGAUUAUGAGUAGAAUGUGGAGAGAUUCCUGGGCAUCACUCGUGUAUGAGGACAAUCAAACUAAUCAAUCAGGAAAUGUUUUUCAAUUAAUGAAUGAAUUUUUAAAAAAUCUAAGGUGGAUGUGUGAAUUGCCUACUAAAUAUAAUUUAAAUCCGUACUUAUUUUUUAAGGUCAUAGCUUGAAGCUACCCUCUGAUAAGGUUGUCAUGCCAUGACGCUCUUUCUUCCGGAAAUCCUCAAUGUCAGUACAUUACAGCAAAGCUAUAGUUCUGGGGAAAAGCAGGUAUCUUUGUGAGUUGUCAGCAUCUUCUUUGGAGAGAGAAAAUUCCUGUAAAUAAUUUCUUAGAAAGGAUCAGGAAAGCAAACAAAAACAUACAGUAUAUUGUUUAAGGAUAUGUACAUUUAAGGUAAAAGUAUUUUUAAAAAGUGGGAGAAUGGCAAACACAAAAGUUCAGGAUAAAUGCAGAGGGAGUGGAAGACAAGAGGAGUACCCAGAGGCAUUUGAGAAUUUCAGUGUUCUAGUUGGAUUCUAGAAGGACCCAGAGCUGUUCUUUUCAUCAUUAUGCUUAAUAACUACACAUAUGUUCCAUGUGGCCUUUUGUGUAUCUCAAACUUUGAUUAGAAAGAACGAUAAAGGAAAUAAGCAGGAAACAAGAACCCUGUCCUAGAAUCCAGGAGACUAGGUCUAAUCUGAAGAUUAUCUAGAAGGUCUUUGAGCAAAUCAAACUCCCGUUCUCCACCGUGAGCUCCACUUCCUCCAUCUGCAUGGUCCUUUCCACCUGGAGCACCUAAGUUGUCUCUGAAGUCCUCCAUUGCCCAUGCAGGGUUGAUGGAAGAGCACUGAGCCUGAGCACGCCAGCCACCAGAUGUCACUCUUACUACACGGCAGUGAGGAUGCUGCACUGCCGCUCUCACAGUGCCCUUCCCCAGGCCCCAAAUCCGGAUGGAUUUUUCUAGAGGAGGCACACGGAGGGUGGCUGCUUCUCCCAUUUGGCUGUAAAGACUUGAAGUCUUCUUUAGAGCUCAAAACAUGAAGGGAGUAUAAGCUACCUGUUGGGUCCAUCAUUUCCUUUUGUGGCAAAUCUCUUCCUGUCAUUCAGCAGAUGAAGGUCCAAGAUAUCAGCCAGGGUACAUGUCCUCCUUUCACUGGCUGGACACUUUUUCUUUUAUCAGACUGGACACGUUGUGUCAGGUUCACAGGUCACAAAUGGAGGCGCUCAGAUGUGGUUACCUGCCUAGCCUAGUCCCAUAUGCACACAAAUAGUGAUCAUUUGCACACUAUGAUUCGGGGGAUGCUAAGAACAUGUCUAUGUUAACUGUCUAAAGGAUCAUCUUUAGAGAUUCGUUACUGUGGGUCAACUAUUUGAAAAAUUUAAUAAUACUCCUGAGAGCUUUCCCUGAUUAAGUCAUUAACAUCUUAAUGUGAAUAAGUGGAGAGAACUUUGGUGGGAAACAUCUUAACAUUUAAAGGAAAAACCAAGAUUUGGCCAGGGUCUGUUGACUCUUGCCCUCAUCAGACCCUCUGGCACCUCCCUGUCCCUGCCAUCAUUCCACUGCUUGCCAUUCAGGGGUACAUGGGGUCCUGGGAACAAGGUAGCCUGUUCUUUCUCUAAGACCUUAGGUGUAGGUCCAAGCUAGGAUAUCUACUGAGGGAUUUCCCUUGGAUAUAGAACUCUGAGGAAAUGAGACACUUUUAAGAACACUUUGGAAGCCUGUUGUACCUCAAAGGUUUUGGGGAGAACUUUUUGGUUGAGGAGUACCAGCCAACCCUGCUCUUUCCUAAUGAGUUUCUGCUUCCUCACUCUCUCCUUUUUCAAUCAGUCUUAUAGGAUGCUGUCAGAUUAAUUUUGCUAAAUUGACAUUCUAAACCUGCCAAACUUGUACCCCAAAUACUUUGCCACUCCCUAUAACCUACAGAAUAGGGAGCAGAAAAAACAAAAAACAAAAUUCUCAUUCCGGGAGUCCAGGUCCUCUAUGAUCUGACAACUGCCCUUUCCAACUUUCUUUCUGCACCCUUCCAGUUAAACUAGAUCACUUGUGAUUCUAACAUUGUGUCUUUGAAUAAGGGUUCUCUCUGCCUGAGAUAUCCCCUCUGUUGCCUGUUUAAACAUAUCCAAAUACUAUAAACGCUCCCACUUCCACUCCCAUAAUUCUUAAAUUUGGAGCUGUAGACCUCUAAACUCCUGGAGUUAAUUAGUCAAAUCUCUUUAAUGGCACUUGACCACUUUAACCUUGUGUAAGAGCUUCUGCAAUAACCUCUUAAAUAGAGUAUAAAUAAAACCGUGAAGGACAGAAACUAGGUCUUAUCAUCUUUAGCAGAGAGCCUUGAGUAAGAGAUCAAGCAGCUGCGUGAAUGAAUAAAUGAGUGCAUAGAAGGGAAAAGAUCCUGAUGCUAGCUAGGGAUGUGGGACAUUAGGUGAUUCCAGCAUUUUCCUCCACGUGGGUUCUCCUAACAUAUACCUAACACAGCAAAUAGACAUUGGGCAAGAUCUCCAUCUCUUUCGGAACAACCACGUCUCUUGAACUUUUGAAUGAAUCACCAAGGAGGGCUCAAAGAGGGUGGGAGAAGAGCAUGGUCUCCAAGACUGAGACUCUGGAAGGUGGAAUUAAGGGAAACUCAUGGGCCAGUUCUGGGCUCUGGGAAUAAGGAGAUCCUUAGGACAUAUGUUUUUGAUGCUCCAUUGGAAGGAUACAAGAGAUCCACCCUCGUUGGGGACGUUUUCAUGUUCUAGUUGUGAUCAUUCUAGGACAGAAUGUCUCAACCACAGCCCUAUUAACAUUUUGGACUGAAUAAUUCUUUGUUGUGGGAGGUGUGCUCUAUGCAUUGCAGGAUGCUUAGCAGCAUUCCUGGCCUCUACCCAUUAGAUGCCCAUAGCAUCCCCUUCCCCCAGCUCCAGCUGUGACAACCAAAAAUGCCCGGGGGAACAGUUGCCCACCUCUGGUUGAGAACUGCUGUUCUAGGAAAUUUAUUGCAUUGUCAAUUUCUUGAGGACAGAGAAUGUCAACUGAGUUGCUCUGCAUCCUUCUACUCCUAGGAAGUGUCAGCACAUAGAAGUUAUUCUUUCUUUUAUUCAAUACCUUGUUAUUGAGCCUUUCUAUGAGUUACACCCUGUUCUAGGCACUGGGGAUAUACCAGGGGAAAGGCUGUCAAGGUACUCGUGGCACUUACACUCUAGGCGCUCUGAGUGCUAUCUUUGGUGGCAAUUUCAGUGGCACCAGUUAUUUUAACUUCUUUUUCAUCGUGGUGAAAGGCAGGCCAAACUCCGAUGACUCUAUGUCUAGGUCAUCAUUUGGGAACACUCACGUCCUUUUUUCUCACAGGAAACAUUAAACUAGAAUUUGCUCAUACAUGUUUUUCCUACUUUUCUCCAUGGUAGAGCCCUGUUUCCUGAUGAACCAAAGUGAGCUCCUUCCCUGCAGGGAGUUGCCGUGGGUGGAUGAGGAUGCGCCUCUGUGACUGCAUGCAGAGAAAGCAGGAAGGAGUGAAGGGGCAAAGUUUGUCCUAGGAGAGACACCACCAGUCACAUAAAUGGCCAUUGCAACUGCCAUUGAAAAUCCAACAUUGAUAGUGAUGAUCCCUCCAAAACUUCCUCGACUGAGAAUAGCUUGGGCAACAGACCCGCAUCCAAGGACCUGGAAUGAGAGAGAAACUCAACAAAUGCUGAAAUGGCUUUUCUUAGGAGGAUAAUCAAUGCUGUGUGCUGCAGGAAAUAGGAGGAGAGAUGGAGCAAUGUGGGGACUUCAGUUACCCUCAUCAGAAACGCCGCUCAGAGGAUUGGAGCCCAGAUUUCCAGCACUGCGUCUUAAUUUAGAAAUGUAUUUGCUGUAGCCUGAAAAGCAACAAGGAAGCCAGGUAACUGCCUCCUGGUUUCUUCCUUUGCCUGCCUCCUCUUGCCUAUAUUCAUAGCACCAGGACAGCAGAUCAUGGACAUUCUAAUGUGUCAUGAGCUGCUUGCUGGAGAUCUGGUCACCCACUCUGAUUCUCUAUGUGUUCAGUGUAUUUUUUUCCUCCAAAAAUGAGACAACUGUUUUUUAUGGUAUUGACGAUAAAAGUUCCAUCCUGAUUCCCUGCUCUCACCUUCAAGAACUGCCAUACCUUUCCCUUCUUAGACUCAAAAAGAGCACAUUAUCAUAUCCACUCUGUCUUGAUUUUCCUGGUCUCCCCAUCUAGAAAGCAUUUCCUUUUUUUUUUUUUUCUUUUUUUUUUUCUUUU